ACACUCUGACCGAGCGCUUCUGUCCUCUCGCAGGUUUACAGCGCCGAGAAGCUGCAGGUGUCCCAUGAAGCGUGAUGGAGGAGAACAAGAGCAGUCCAAAAAAGGAGAGCCCCUGUAGAGCGCCCCCCGCGGGGACACCUGCUCCACGCGCGGCUUCAGCAGGGACGCCGGAAGAAGACGAACGCUCUCCGGAUCCCGUUCGCAGACGCGCCGAAUGUAAGACGUGCCCCCGCUCCCGUGUCUCCUGGCUGCGUCGCCCGGCUGGACGACCCGGCGACGCUCGUCUGCUCUCUGUCCUGCCCGUAGCUCCACAGCGCCUCUCGCCGGCCAGUGCGCAGCUGCUGGAAGAACUGAGGAGCAGAGCACAGCGCACCCGCAGGGAGGGGUCCCCAGAGCAUCCCGCAGCGCCCACAAGCCCCGCCUUCGCACCACCCGCAGCGAGCACCUCCCCAGGGUCCCGCGGGGAAGGGGCGACGCCUCUGACGGGGGGUGAGCACCUCUGUGCUUUUACAGUCAUUUCUGAUGUGUACCUCGGUGUACCGCAGCAGCAAUCCGAUCCCUAAACCGGUGCCUCCUCAGAGAAUACAUUGUGUGCGUGAGAAAGCGUUUCUGCUCUUUCUGCCUUUUUGGCAUCGAUUACAGUGAAUUACCAGGGUACAGUAAAAAAUAGGCAUCAGUUUGUACACCGACCCUGUGUGUUUGACUGCGCCCAUCGGUGUCCUCCAGCGUAUCACUGGGCGCACGGGGCUGACUUGUCGCCUGCGCGAUGGCGCGCUCACCUGGCACCAGGAAGGAAGCGCAUCGCCGAGUGCGACUCACCUGCCCUCCGCCUCCCUUCUCUUCCCAGGAGGCCUCUCUCUCUGCGGUCCGGAGCUGCUCCGCGAGCUCAAGCAGUCGCGCUCCCUGCGCCACAUCACACCUCACUCGGGCCUCACCACGGUCUUCUCGGGGAGGGGCGGAGCGGUAGGAGCAGCCUGCGGUGUUGGGGUGGUGGGGCGGGGGGUCGGGAUCAGAAAUUCCUCGCUUCCAAAUGUGAAACAAUAUUUUAGUCAGUGACCCCAGCGGAAGAGGCAGCUGGGCUGCAGAGUGGAGACACACACACACAAACACACACACACUCUCCAGUAGGGGGGUGCUGUCUGUCUGAGUUCGGUGCCACUCAAGAGCAGGGUAAGAGGUUACAGUACAACUGCCAGCAGCAGUGACCGUCACAGGUCCUGCUCAUUCCUGGUCUGGAGCUCCUGCCACUUGGUGGCGCCGUCCUGCCGAGACACCGGUCUUCGCUGCCCAGGUUCUGGCUGAAGGGAACGAGAGAUCAGUGUUGCUUUGCUCACUUUCCAAAGGCUUUCUGGUCCUCUUGAGCCACACAGCUGUCUCUGCUCCUCGGCUGGUGUCCUCCAGCCAGCUGCAGUUCAGCUGCGGUUCAGCUGCGGUCCAGCUGCGGUCCAGCUACGGUCCAGCUGCAGUCAAGCAGCGUUCGAGCUGGAGGAGAAGCAUAAGCGCCGAGGAGAAGCAGUGUAAGAUCCUGCAUUAGAGAUGGAGGAUGAAACCGAGCUGGGAGGCAGAAACCACCGACAUGAGAAAAGCCUCAGUUUCUUUUCUUACUGGGUUCCGUGUGUACCGCCGUUAACGUGCGGUCCGCGGUCCGUACACGUGUAUGAAAACACGGAGAGCUUUUCACAUCUCUUCCCCAUUUCGUUGUUCCUCUGUGUCUGUCUGCGUUUGUGCGUCUCCCAGACCAGAGCCUCGGUCCACGGUUCAGCUCCCAUCAGCCGCUCCCAAGUCCAGGUUCUGCCGAAGGCCUCGACCAAUCAGAGCGCAGGAGGCGGAGACAGAGCGCUUUUAGCCAACGGGGAGCAGAAAUAGACGCUCGCAGUCGGUCUUUCGGUCCGUCUCUGCAGCUCGACUUGUGUUUGACCAUAGCGAUGUUGCAGUAAGGGUUAUUUGCACAACUCUGUAUUGUAAUGACUUCAUUUUUUUAUUUUGUUUUCUUUUAUUUCAACUUCAAGUGUUUUACAGUGGAAAAAAUGUUCCAGAGCUGGAUCCCGGACCCAAGUUGUGGUUCUUCCUGACACCCUGAACACACUCUUCUCACCAAUAAACACGUUCGGUUGAACCA
Molecule: long non-coding RNA, 2119 nt
Filed under: Scleropages formosus (Asian bonytongue)
Lineage: Eukaryota; Metazoa; Chordata; Actinopteri; Osteoglossiformes; Osteoglossidae
Description: lncRNA (ENSSFOG00015028427.1)
Source: RNAcentral